This 274-nucleotide ribosomal RNA is filed under the name uncultured bacterium. RNAcentral describes it as "partial 16S ribosomal RNA". It matches the Rfam family "Bacterial small subunit ribosomal RNA", at positions 523 to 796 of the family's 1533-position model. The record is from RNAcentral.
AUACGGAGGGUGCAAGCGUUAAUCGGAAUUACUGGGCGUAAAGCGCGCGUAGGCGGCUUGAUAAGUCGGAUGUGAAAUCCCCGGGCUUAACCUGGGAAUUGCAUUCGAUACUGUCAGGCUAGAGUGUGGUAGAGGGAAGUGGAAUUUCCGGUGUAGCGGUGAAAUGCGUAGAUAUCGGAAAGAACAUCAGUGGCGAAGGCGGCUUCCUGGAUCAACACUGACGCUGAGGUGCGAAAGCGUGGGGAGCAAACAGGAUUAGAUACCCUUGUAGUCC